This is a long non-coding RNA of Thalassophryne amazonica, 154 nucleotides long. RefSeq lists it as uncharacterized. The transcript has 3 exons. Lineage: Eukaryota; Metazoa; Chordata; Actinopteri; Batrachoidiformes; Batrachoididae. The record is from RefSeq and is a predicted model, not a curated record.
AUGGGGACGCGUGUGGUCUGAUUGGAGGAGAAGGUGAAGGUGAGCUGAAAGGAGCGGAGGUGCUGAAGGAUCCUGGGAUAUUGACUGGAGCAGAACUCUGCAGCUGGCUGCCUCCUGCAAAAAUAAAUUACUAAAAAUAAAACAUCAAAUGUGA